This 393-nucleotide ribosomal RNA is filed under the name uncultured bacterium. RNAcentral describes it as "bacterial SSU rRNA". It matches the Rfam family "Bacterial small subunit ribosomal RNA", at positions 527 to 919 of the family's 1533-position model. The record is from RNAcentral.
GUAGGUGGCGAGCGUUGUCCGGAAUGACUGGGCGUAAAGGGAGCGUAGGCGGCUUGGCAAGUUAGGAGUGAAAUCCCGUGGCUUAACCACGGAACUGCUUUUAAAACUGUCAGGCUUGAGUGAUGGAGAGGCAGGCGGAAUUCGUGGUGUAGCGGUGAAAUGCUUAGAUAUCGCGAAGAACUCCGAUUGCGAAGGCAGCCUGCUAAGCUGCAACUGACAUUGAGGCUCGAAAGUGUGGGUAUCAAACAGGAUUAGAUACCCUGGUAGUCCACGCCGUAAACGAUGGAUACUAGGUGUGCGGGGACUGACCCCCUGCGUGCCGCAGUUAACACAAUAAGUAUCCCACCUGGGGAGUACGAUCGCAAGGUUGAAACUCAAAGGAAUUGACGGAAG